CGGUCAUGGUCCCCGGCUAGGGCUCUAUCCCAGGGACCUCGGUCUUCGCGCCCAAAAGUGGCAUUUUCCAAGACUACCUUGGCCCACCACGCCCCUAUCCUGGGCUUAUAAAAACCCAAGACCCUAGCAAGGCAGAGACAUGAGCUGCUGGACAGCCAGAGGAAUACAUUGGUGGAAGAAGACAAACAGCUGGACAUUGAGAAGACUUUGAGGGGAGCAUGCCUGCGGAAGAGCACACCGCCAGAUGCCCGGACACCAGCAGGCCACUGACCAACAGGCCAUGACCAGCGGAACGAUGUGGAGUUUGGCCAGGGCAGAUGGAGGAGAGCCCGGGGCCACCAAGCAGCCCAAUUCCACGGGAAAACCAUCUGUCUUCUGGCUCCCCCAUCUGCUGAGAGCUACUUCCACUCAAUAAAACCUUGCACUCAUUCUCCGAUUCCAGUUUGUGAAGAUACAGAGAGAAAACG
RNAcentral lists this long non-coding RNA (467 nucleotides) under Homo sapiens (human). Its description in RNAcentral is "HSALNT0271950". The record is from RNAcentral. Lineage: Eukaryota; Metazoa; Chordata; Mammalia; Primates; Hominidae.